RNAcentral lists this ribosomal RNA (835 nucleotides) under Salmonella enterica subsp. enterica serovar London. Its description in RNAcentral is "partial 23S ribosomal RNA". It matches the Rfam family "Bacterial large subunit ribosomal RNA", at positions 2108 to 2925 of the family's 2925-position model. The record is from RNAcentral. Lineage: Bacteria; Pseudomonadati; Pseudomonadota; Gammaproteobacteria; Enterobacterales; Enterobacteriaceae.
AGCUUGACACUGAACAUUGAGCCUUGAUGUGUAGGAUAGGUGGGAGGCUUUGAAGCGUGGACGCCAGUCUGCGUGGAGCCGACCUUGAAAUACCACCCUUUAAUGUUUGAUGUUCUAACGUGGACCCGUAAUCCGGGUUGCGGACAGUGUCUGGUGGGUAGUUUGACUGGGGCGGUCUCCUCCUAAAGAGUAACGGAGGAGCACGAAGGUUGGCUAAUCCUGGUCGGACAUCAGGAGGUUAGUGCAAUGGCAUAAGCCAGCUUGACUGCGAGCGUGACGGCGCGAGCAGGUGCGAAAGCAGGUCAUAGUGAUCCGGUGGUUCUGAAUGGAAGGGCCAUCGCUCAACGGAUAAAAGGUACUCCGGGGAUAACAGGCUGAUACCGCCCAAGAGUUCAUAUCGACGGCGGUGUUUGGCACCUCGAUGUCGGCUCAUCACAUCCUGGGGCUGAAGUAGGUCCCAAGGGUAUGGCUGUUCGCCAUUUAAAGUGGUACGCGAGCUGGGUUUAGAACGUCGUGAGACAGUUCGGUCCCUAUCUGCCGUGGGCGCUGGAGAACUGAGGGGGGCUGCUCCUAGUACGAGAGGACCGGAGUGGACGCAUCACUGGUGUUCGGGUUGUCAUGCCAAUGGCACUGCCCGGUAGCUAAAUGCGGAAGAGAUAAGUGCUGAAAGCAUCUAAGCACGAAACUUGCCCCGAGAUGAGUUCUCCCUGAGACUUAGAGUCUCCUGAAGGAACGUUGAAGACGACGACGUUGAUAGGCCGGGUGUGUAAGCGCAGCGAUGCGUUGAGCUAACCGGUACUAAUGAACCGUGAGGCUUAACCUUACAACGCCGAAG